RNAcentral lists this ribosomal RNA (467 nucleotides) under uncultured bacterium. RNAcentral's name for it is "partial 16S ribosomal RNA". It matches the Rfam family "Bacterial small subunit ribosomal RNA", at positions 28 to 507 of the family's 1533-position model. The record is from RNAcentral.
GACGAACGCUGGCGGCGUGCUUAACACAUGCAAGUCGAACGGAAAGGCCCUGCUUUGUGGGGUGCUCGAGUGGCGAACGGGUGAGUAACACGGGAGUAACCUGCCCCUGACUUUGGGAUAACUUCAGGAAACUGGGGCUAAAACCGGAUAGGAGCCCCUGCUGCAGGGUGGGGGUUGGAAAGUUUCGGCGGUUGGGGAUGGACUCGCGGCUUAUCAGCUUGUUGGUGGGGUAGUGGCUUACCAAGGCUUUGACGGGUAGCCGGCCUGAGAGGGUGACCGGCCACAUUGGGACUGAGAUACGGCCCAGACUCCUACGGGAGGCAGCAGUGGGGAAUAUUGCACAAUGGGCGGAAGCCUGAUGCAGCAACGCCGCGUGCGGGAUGACGGCCUUCGGGUUGUAAACCGCUUUCGCCUGUGACGAAGCGUGAGUGACGGUAAUGGGUAAAGAAGCACCGGCUAACUACGUG